GAUGAAGAACGUAGCGAAAUGCGAUAAGUAAUGUGAAUUGCAGAAUUCAGUGAAUCAUCGAAUUUUUGAACGCACCUUGCGCCCCUUGGUAUUCCGAGGAGCAUGCCUGUUUGAGUGUCAGUAAAUUCUCAAACCCUUCCAGCUUUUUGUAGUUGGCUCUGGGUCUUGGAUGUGGAGGUGUUGCAGGCCUUUUUGAGGUCAGCUCCCCUGAAAUGCAUUAGCAGAACCGUUUGCAAUCCAUCACAGGUGUGAUAAUUAUCUACGCCAGUGGGUUGCUCUCUGUCACUGUUCAGCUUACAAUUGUCCCAUUCUUGUGGACCAACUAUUGCUGAUUCUUUGACCUCAAAUCAGGUAGGACUACCCGCUGAACUUAAGCAUAUCAAUAAGCGGACGA
This 394-nucleotide unclassified non-coding RNA is filed under the name soil metagenome. Its description in RNAcentral is "partial contains 5.8S ribosomal RNA, internal transcribed spacer 2, and large subunit ribosomal RNA". The stretch from base 1 to 120 matches the Rfam family "5.8S ribosomal RNA", at positions 35 to 154 of the family's 154-position model. The record is from RNAcentral.